This 469-nucleotide ribosomal RNA is filed under the name uncultured bacterium. RNAcentral describes it as "bacterial SSU rRNA". It matches the Rfam family "Bacterial small subunit ribosomal RNA", at positions 328 to 795 of the family's 1533-position model. The record is from RNAcentral.
UUUCCAGACUCCUACGGGAGGCAGCAGUGAGGAAUAUUGGUCAAUGGGCGAGAGCCUGAACCAGCCAAGUCGCGUGAAGGAUGACGGCCCUACGGGUUGUAAACUUCUUUUGUCAGGGAGCAAUUGAGUCCACGUGUGGUCUUAGCGAGAGUACCUGAAGAAAAAGCAUCGGCUAACUCCGUGCCAGCAGCCGCGGUAAUACGGAGGAUGCGAGCGUUAUCCGGAUUUAUUGGGUUUAAAGGGUGCGUAGGCGGAAUAUCAAGUCAGCGGGAAAAAGUCGGGGCUCAACCCCGUCGUGCCGUUGAAACUGGCGUUCUUGAGUGAGCGAGAAGUAUGCGGAAUGCGUGGUGUAGCGGUGAAAUGCAUAGAUAUCACGCAGAACUCCGAUUGCGAAGGCAGCAUACCGGCGCUCAACUGACGCUCAUGCACGAAAGCGUGGGUAUCGAACAGGAUUAGAUACCCCGGUAUC